GGGUCUGUUUUUUGGAAUUCGACAGGCUGUUUAGAGCAUUGGCUGCGUUUCGCCGUCCGGGCGUUAAACGGGCAGACAUUUUAACUGCAAAAAAUGAAAACUCUUACGCAAUCGCUGCUUAAAAACCAGCAAUACGUAGCUUAAUCUUGGUUUCUGACGUCUGAGGUUAGGCCAUAAAAGGUCAGAUCGCAUUGUUGUUUACAUCUGGAAGGGCAAUGUUAAAUUUAUCAGAUUAGUUAAUUUGAUUAGCCGUGUGUUAUGGCGUACAAGUUAAUGAAAUUCAAAUGAUAACACUAUAAGCGUAGGCGCCUGUGUAUCGGACGGUUUGGACAGGGGUUCGACUCCCCUCAGAUCCAUUU
Non-coding RNA from Leuconostoc pseudomesenteroides PS12, 359 nucleotides. NCBI's taxonomy places the organism in Bacteria, Bacillati, Bacillota, Bacilli, Lactobacillales, Lactobacillaceae. The record is from Rfam.